AGCCUUUCUACAUAACAGAAGGCCCGUUUCAUCACAGUGUUGGUGCUGACCUUCAAAGCCCUAAAUGGCCUCGGCCCAGUAUACCUGAAGGAGCGUCUCCUCCCCCAUCGUUCUGCCCGGACACUGAGGUCCAGCGCCGAGGGCCUUCUGGUGGUUCGCUCACUGUGAGAAGCAAAGCUACAGGGAACCAGGCGGUGGGCCUUCUCGGUAGUGGCACUUGCCCUGUGGAACGCCCUCCCACCAGAUGUCAAAGAGAAAAACAACUACCAGACUUCUGAAGGCAGCCCUGUUUAGGGAAGCUUUUAAUGUUUAAUAGACUAUUGUAUUUUAAUAUUCUGUUGGAAACCGCCCAGAGUAACUGGGGAAACCGAGCCAGAUGGGCGGGGUAUAACUAAUAAAUUAUUAUUAUUAUAGUCACAUGUUGGGAUUGGAAAAUGCAUAUCUUCCUUGCGCUUAAAUAGAGAAAAUAGUUUCCUGACCCACCAGAGGUGUUAAUUAACAUAGUAAAUACAGUAUUGGAAGACUGUGUUACAAGCAAUAGCAGUUAAGAAUGGUCACUGUGUUUAUUUUGCACAUACUUCAUUUAAUACAGACUAUAUUUUAACCAUCUCAUGAUCAUUUGAGCCCAGUAUUUACACCCACCUCCCACUAACGUGUUUUUUAAAAAAAUAUUCCUGCCAACUGAGAACAAUACUUCAUGCAUCUGAUGAAGUCCACAAAGCAUUUUGCCUUAAUAAUUGUGUUUGGCUUAUUUUUGCUGCAACAGACUAACACGGCUCCCUCACUGGAAUAUCUUUCUAUCUUUAAUUGCCUAAAGCAGUGAUGGCCAAACUCGGCCCUCCAGCUGCUUUGGGACUACAAUUCCCAUCAUCCCAGACCACUGGUCCUGUUAGCUAGGGAUGAUGGGAGUUGUAGUCCAAAAACAGCUGGGGGGGCCAAGUUUGACCAUCACUGGCCUAAAGAGUCAACUGAAACAUAACCAAAGCAAAACAACAUGGCUUUUCUGAUGAUUCUCCUACUUCUGUGGAGCUCAAGGUUUCAGUUGCUGCUAUGGAGCACAUAAUUUAUAACCCUGUUAGGUAUAUGUUUAACAUUUCUCCUACAGGCUUGCAGAAUCUGUUAAUUAAUUGUAUUUUUGAAACAUGAAUGAUUAGAGAACAAAUAAAUUUUACCAUGAUUAAACCACAGGCCCUUUAGCAAGAUCAGUCAAUACAAGCUGACACUAAAUAAAGAGGGGUAAUCUAGUAGUUUUAUCAGAUGGGGAACUUGUGGUCCCCCAGUUGUUUUUGGACUUCAGCUCCCAUCACCCCUGGCCAUUAUUAUUAAUUAUACCUAUUAGGCACCCCCCCCAGUGAACUCAAGGUAACUUACAAAAAUGAACAUAAAAGCAAGCAUAAAAACAUCUUUAAAUGCUCACCAAUACUCACCAGUGCCACAUUUGUGUGUGUGUGUGUGAGAGAGAGAGAGAGAGAGAGAGAGAGAGAAAGUGUGAGUUAAGCGUUUGGGGGAUAGGCUGUAUGCCUGAGUCCCUUUCUAAUUCCUAAUCCAGCACAGAUUCAAUUCCUUGAAUAGCCAGGCUAGCUUCCUGGUGAGGUACUGACCCUCUAAGUAUGGGCCACUGAGGUUACAAAGGACGUGGCUCAGGGGACAGGCAGAAAAUGGGUGGGUUUCCCUCCCUCAACUCACUGGUAGUUAAAGAGGCAAAAGGCCAGAGUUGAGAAUUUAGGUGUGUGAGAGGUAGAAGAUAGAAGCAAAGCUUCAGGCUGGGCAGCUGGGAGGCAGAAUCAUUCCUGAUUUCUGCUGGAAUCCAAGGCUGUGGCUAUGGGAGAAACAAGGCCCUCUUGGGGUGUUAAUGCUGUAAGUCCCUCCAUUGUAGGAUCAGGUUGUAUAUAUGUGUAAAUAAACCAUAUAUCAUAAAGACACCGGUCUCCACUGUCCCUCAUUCCAAGGAAACAACCCUUGCCUAGAAUCCCUGGAAUCUCACACCACUCAGAGCUUGGACUGAUACGCAACAAUAUAAUAUAAUGGCUCUUGGCUGUGCUAGCCGGGGCUGAUGGGAGUUCAAGUCCAACAACAUUUGGAGGGUCACAGGUUCCCCAACCCUUAGGUGAUUCUGCAACUUGGUGUCAUCAAAACAUUAAAUAGAUAAGGACUAAUUUAGUGCAUUGGUCGGUAUAUGGCUUGGGACUGUGGUAUAUUGAAUAUCUCUUAAGAUGCCUAUAACGGAACAGUCAGUUUUCCCUUCUACCACUGGCCUGAUGUUGUUUACUUUCACCUCUGUCCAUGUAUAUGAACGAGUGGAAGGCAGUGUUCCUAAGAAAAAGGAAGCUGUUUAUAAACCUGUCUUUGCUGAUUUGGGAUUUUUGCUGCCUUUAAAUAUUGGAAGCUACAGAAAUAUAUUUAAGCAUGAAGGUAGGGAUGGAAAGCACUAUGCCAAAUCCAGGUUCAUGGGGCAUCGGGACAGCCUUAUAUUGCUGCCAUGCAGACACUUUACACUUUAGGAACCAGUGCAUGCUUUCUGCUCCCUUUCACUGUGUCACCAGUUACACAGAACCCCAACUUGAGUAAAUAUGGUUUGGUAGCUUCUGCAUGAGAGAGUUUUCCUAUUUUUAAACUCAUCCCAUUCCAAUGUUUUGUCUUCAUUUUACAAGGCUAACAUUGUUUACUCAGUUGUUAAUUCAGUUGCUUACCCACCCUACUAUAUUUCACUGGACACUUCAUUGCCAACAGUGCUGAUGUUGUUUUGCUAAUGAAAUACAGAAGUUAAAAAAGUCUUACUGCAUUACAUGCAGGAAACUAAUAAAUUCCUUGUCUCUCCACAAGGCUCGACACCAUUUUUCAGCAAGUGUCUAUUUCCUAACCUACGGUAAUUAGAAAAAAAGAGCUCAUUAAAUGCACAAAGAAUUAAGCCAACUAAUGCUUAUCAUGUUUUAAUUUUGCUUUAGGCACAUUUUUUCUCCUCUGAAAACUUUUUAAUAAAAAAAAUAGACUAAGUUGCUGUGUAAGAAAAGACUUACAUGUUUAAACACAAUUCCUUGAAAAACACAGGAAAUAUUUGAAUGUCUUACAGUUAAUGGCAGAAUGUUCUAGGUUGUGGCAUGCCCUGGCAGGCUAUCUUUUCAGAUCUAUGGCAUCUGAAGCUGUUCUAUAUCUCCACACAACUUGAAUAGCACCUGCACCAUUUGUGCACUUAAAAAAAAUUGCCCAAUAUCUUGCCCACUAUUUAUCUUUAAAUAGGAAUAUUGUAUUCAUUAACAUCAAGUGAGAACAUGCCACAUUUCUCUGUUUUGAUUUCCAGAGAGGAAGUAGUAUUUAUUGCAUUAGAUUUAUCCUUAUGAGCUUUUAUAGUUAAUUCUAGACAAAGAUAAAUUUCUGUCGUUUGCAGUUUAUAUGCAGUUGGAAAAGAAUAGGCAAAAACAGUUGUGAGGGAGUAGGCAAAAGUUUGUUGUACUGAUGUUUGGCUUGUGGUCAUUUGUGCUAUAUUUUCAUUAAAGUUAAAUAACUAUAUAAUUACUUACAUCUGUAUCUUGCCAAACACAUAAGCCAAGGACUUUCAGGCAUCUUUCAGUUAUAUUUGUUGUUAUGGCUGUCAUUGUGGAACACUCAUAAAAUGGCUACGUUCUUGCACUGAAGCAAGCAAAGUAAUGAAUUAUGACAUUUAAAUUUAAGAUUAAAUAAUUAAUGAGCUGGAGCACACAGGUGAACAAUAAAGAAAGAAAAUUUAUCAUCACAACCGCCUGACCAAUGCUAUUUUUCUAGAAAAAAGAGGUACUGGAAUUCACCAUGACCGAUUUAGCUGCUAGCACACAGAACCUUAGUCAGGAAUGUGACUACAGGAAGACAAAGGGUACAAUUUUGUAUACAGGUGACAUUUUGUCCAAGAGGGGGAAACAAUUACUAGGUAUCAGCUGUAUUCAUGGACAAUUAUGCCACAAACCAUUGUUUAAUAGGCCAAAUCCAUAUCUGGAGGAGAGCUACAUUGCCAUCAAGAGCAAACAGGCCUGGGGGUGGGGGCAGGGUAGAUAACAGAACACUUUACAGCAGUGAUGGCCAAACUUGGCCCACCAGCUGCUUUGGGACUACAAUUCACCUCAUCCCUGACCACUGGUCCUGUUAGCUAGGGAUGAUGGGAGUUGUAGUCCCAAAACAGCUGGAGAGGCAAGUUUGGCUACCCCUGCUUUACAGUGAAACAUUACCAUUAGGCAAAAUGAGGCAGCCAUGGGUGGCAGAUUUUGUGAGGUUGUAGCAGUAAGGGGCUAGUGGCUAGAGCUAUGUGCAUUAAGUGGCUUGCCCUGCACCCCUUGCUGUCUUUAGGUAUGGUAGAAGAUACUGUCUCAGCACCAGUGUUUUAGUAAACAGCCAUUCCAGGCUACUUCUGGAUGGGGGGGGGGUGUAAUGCAUUUUCUCCACCUCAUAUUAAAAUUGGACCAAACCCUGUGCUGAAGAGAAACCUAGCAAAUAACUGAACAUGAACCAACAGUAGCAGUAUCAGAGGUUACCUCAGUGGCCCUGCUGUCUUCAUGAAGUGUCCACUGAAGUGGCACUAUUACAUGAUGAAUGCAAGCUGCCAUGAAGAAACAAUGCUCUUAUGGUUUUUUGAGCUAUUCUUGAGUGAUGAUGCCUAGGUUCACCUGGGUGCAAAACUAGAGUUGGGCCUCGUUAGGCAGUAAAUGGGCAUACCUUCCAGCACAUCCCAACAACUAAGGGUUUUGACAGCUGUCUUUCCUCUGGAUUCAGCAUGUGAGAUUAAGAGUGGGAUUGAAAUGUUGGCAAGCCUGAGUAGUCAUUUCACUGCCUUGGCUUUUGCAGCAGAUGAGAGAGAGGGCAUGUUGACCUUGCUUUCACCCAGAGAAACAUGACAAAUCCAAAGUCUUACUAAGACAGAUGGUUGCCACAAAAAUUCUGUGUGUGUCAGGUCUUUGACUUUGCCAUGAGCAUAGUCAGCAGUGUAUCUAUUUUGAGCACUGUAGCAAGAAAAAAUUAUUUUCAGUUCAGUCGUUCUAUCCCUUGCUACACACUACUGUAUAAGAAGUGCAGUGAACAAAACAAUGAGUUGCCCCUAUGGGUUGCGUUCUUUGAUUUUUAAAAAUAAAGGAAAGAAUGUACAUAAAUAUAUCAUCUGUCUGAAAUACAACACCUUUUGCACAAUUCAUAGUGAGUAUACAGAAUUCACAGCUGCUGAAUGCUGUGUUGGCCAUUAGAAUAGACUGCUUUAAAAGGAUCAGGCAAACUAAUGUAAUAUAGGUUUAUCAAUUACCAUUAUCCAUAAAAACUAAAACAAAGAACUUCUAUGUCCUGAAUCAGUAAAGUUUUGAUUUCCAGAUUCUUGGGACAAAUAAGAGAUGCUUAUCUUCAAUUUGCCUUGCUUGAAAGUCACAGAGCAUCUAGUUAGCCAUUAUGGAAAACAAUGGUGGAGAUGCACCUGUGUUCUGAUCAACAAAGCUGUACUUAUGUCACAUACAAAUCCCAUGCAAUUUGAUAUCUUUUUGAAAUGCAUACUGUUUCUUGCACUUCUAUGUUAGUGCUAAAGUUCAGAACCUGUAAGGUGUGAAGCUUCUACCAGGACAGGCCUUUUGAAAGGGACGAAAAGCAAUCUCAUGUUCACCGCCAGCCAAUCCAUUGGACAAGGUGGACAAUUGCCAGGACUUUGGGAACCUGUAGUUCUCCUGAUGUCGGAUUCCAAUUUGCAUCAGCUCUGUCAAGCAUGGCUAGUGGUCAGGGAUAGGAAUUGUAGUCAAGCAGUAUCUGGAAGGCCACAGGUUCCCCAGUCCUGACCUACAAGGUGUGUUAUCCUUAGAGACUUUGGCAUUACACACCAUCAGAACAUUGGGGCUUUAGCAGCGUAAACAUUGUUUUCAUGGGGAAUCCACUCAAUAACUGGCUUAGUAUUUAUGGCAAGUGCCUUCCAGGACCUAUACAAAAAGCCAAAACCACAAGAUGAUCCACUUCAUUUAGUAAGGAUGCUUCCUGCCUGAAGACCAUUUGGAAUUCAUUGUUUGGGAACCUUAUUGCUCACAUAUUCCUACUUAGUUACAGCUGGUAGCAGUACAGUGAUU
Non-coding RNA from Podarcis lilfordi (Lilford's wall lizard), 6056 nucleotides. NCBI's taxonomy places the organism in Eukaryota, Metazoa, Chordata, Lepidosauria, Squamata, Lacertidae. The record is from the annotation of a GenBank genome assembly.